UACAGAAAGAAUUCAACAUGAACCGUUCACUGAUGAUUCUGAUAAACGCUGUAUCCCUUUCCGUUGUCACGGCUUCUAUGGAUAUGAAAUUUGGUUAUCACGUUAUAGACGGGAAUGCCAAAUAUUUGGAGAGCAUAGAGAUGAAUUUAGAAGAGAAUACAGUAAAAAUUCACACCCCAGCACACAAUGAUGUUAUGGAAUCGUACCUACUUCAAGAUUUCCGUCAGGGUCAGUAGAUGAAAUGUCUCCCUUCCUUAAGGCAAUGUAGACUGAGGGACAUUGACAGAAAAAAUGCAGUAGAUGCUGGACAAACUACAGAGGCUUUUAUUCACAGCUGG
Molecule: long non-coding RNA, 338 nt
Organism: Mytilus trossulus (common blue mussel)
Lineage: Eukaryota; Metazoa; Mollusca; Bivalvia; Mytilida; Mytilidae
Exons: 3
Source: RefSeq, a predicted model, not a curated record